CGGGUGAGUAGUGUAUGGGGAUCUGCCUGAUGGCGGGGGAUAACUACUGGAAACGGUAGCUAAUACCGCAUAAUGUCUGCGGACCAAAGCGGGGGACCUCCGGGCCUCGCGCCAUCAGAUGAACCCAUAUGGGAUUAGCUAGUAGGUAAGGUAACGGCUUACCUAGGCGACGAUCCCUAGCUGGUCUGAGAGGAUGAUCAGCCACACUGGGACUGAGACACGGCCCAG
This 228-nucleotide ribosomal RNA is filed under the name uncultured bacterium. RNAcentral describes it as "partial 16S ribosomal RNA". It matches the Rfam family "Bacterial small subunit ribosomal RNA", at positions 103 to 334 of the family's 1533-position model. The record is from RNAcentral.